This 403-nucleotide ribosomal RNA is filed under the name Verrucomicrobiota bacterium. Its description in RNAcentral is "Verrucomicrobia bacterium partial 16S ribosomal RNA". It matches the Rfam family "Bacterial small subunit ribosomal RNA", at positions 355 to 776 of the family's 1533-position model. The record is from RNAcentral. Lineage: Bacteria; Pseudomonadati; Verrucomicrobiota.
UGGGGAAUAUUGCACAAUGGGGGAAACCCUGAAGCAGCGACGCCGCGUGAUUUAGAAGGCCUUCGGGUUGUAAAAAUCUUUUGUAUGGGAAGAAAAUGACAGUACCAUACGAAUAAGGACCGGCUAAUUCCGUGCCAGCAGCCGCGGUAAUACGGAAGGUCCGGGCGUUAUCCGGAUUUAUUGGGUUUAAAGGGAGCGUAGGCCGUAGAUUAAGUGUGUUGUGAAAUGUAGACGCUCAACGUCUGACUUGCAGCGCAUACUGGUUUACUUGAGUUUGCACAACAUUGGCGGAAUUCGUCGUGUAGCGGUGAAAUGCUUAGAUAUGACGAAGAACUCCGAUUGCGAAGGCAGCUUGCGGGAGCAAAACUGACGCUGAAGCUCGAAAGUGCGGGUAUCGAACAGG